CAAAAAUAAAACACAAGUACAUUGUUCAUACUGUUACACUUGUAUCUGGGAUUAGUUAUUUUGUAACUAUUCAGAUUACGUAAAUUAUAUUUUACAUGUGCAGUUGAAUUAGUUUUAAAAAUAAUAAUAUACAGCUACAUGUAUACAUGUGUCAAUACAAACAAUGGCAAUCCUAUCCCUCAGAGCAAUCUGCUCUUUGAUUGACUUUUUUUAAUUUAUCAAGAUUUAAACUAAAUAUCCACUGGAUUUCUCGAGUAGUUAUGAAACACAAACUUAGAUGUUGAACAAAGUACCAAUUUUCUAUCAACCAACUUUCUAUCAUUUAAUAUCCAC
This 333-nucleotide long non-coding RNA is filed under the name Mytilus galloprovincialis (Mediterranean mussel). Lineage: Eukaryota; Metazoa; Mollusca; Bivalvia; Mytilida; Mytilidae. The record is from RNAcentral.